GACAGAGGGUGCAAACGUUGCUCGGAAUUACUGGGCGUAAAGCGCGUGUAGGUGGACCAGCAAGUCAGGCGUGAAAUCCCUAGGCUCAACCUAGGAACUGCACCUGAAACUGCUGGUCUUGAGUGGUGGAGAGGAAAGCAGAAUUCCUGGUGUAGAGGUGAAAUUCGUAGAUAUCAGGAGGAACACCGGUGGCGAAGGCGGCUUUCUGGACACUUACUGACACUGAGACGCGAAAGCGUGGGGAGCAAACAGG
Molecule: ribosomal RNA, 253 nt
Filed under: uncultured bacterium
Lineage: Bacteria
Description: partial 16S ribosomal RNA
Rfam family: Bacterial small subunit ribosomal RNA
Source: RNAcentral